Rosa chinensis is the source of this 281-nucleotide long non-coding RNA. RefSeq lists it as uncharacterized. Lineage: Eukaryota; Viridiplantae; Streptophyta; Magnoliopsida; Rosales; Rosaceae. The transcript has 3 exons. The record is from RefSeq and is a predicted model, not a curated record.
CGGUUUCCUUUCACUAGGAUGUACGAGCUCUCUCCGUUGCCUCUAACAAGGAUCGAUCUAAGAGCAUUGACUGGCGGUGGCUUUGUUCUUUGUCUAGAUCUGAAUCAGAUGCUUUGAGGCUGCUGAGAUUCAUUUAUGGUUCAAGCCCAGGCCAUUGACAAUGCAUAUGAAGGUAAGGUAUUUGAGCAAUUAUGGUUCCAGGUAACCCCUCUGUUCUUCUCCAUUUAACUAAUUUGGUUUCCCAAAUUGCACAGUUUUUUUCUUUUUCAUGUCGACGGGCU